Molecule: ribosomal RNA, 265 nt
Filed under: uncultured Desulfuromonas sp.
Lineage: Bacteria; Pseudomonadati; Thermodesulfobacteriota; Desulfuromonadia; Desulfuromonadales; Desulfuromonadaceae
Description: partial 16S ribosomal RNA
Rfam family: Bacterial small subunit ribosomal RNA
Source: RNAcentral
GCCAUCAUUAAGUUGGGCACUCUAGGGAGACUGCCGGUGUUAAACCGGAGGAAGGUGGGGACGGACGUCAAGUCAUCAUGGCCCUUAUGUCCAGGGCUACACACGUGCUACAAUGGCCGGUACAAAGGGUUGCGAAGCUGUGAAGUGAAGCUAAUCCCAAAAAGCCGGUCUCAGUUCGGAUUGGAGUCUGCAACUCGACUCCAUGAAGUUGGAAUCGCUAGUAAUCGCGCAUCAGCAUGGCGCGGUGAAUACGUUCCCGGGCCUU